Molecule: ribosomal RNA, 236 nt
Filed under: uncultured bacterium
Lineage: Bacteria
Description: partial 16S ribosomal RNA
Rfam family: Bacterial small subunit ribosomal RNA
Source: RNAcentral
GGUCCUACGGGGGGCAGCAGUGGGGAAUAUUGGGCAAUGGGCGCAAGCCUGACCCAGCAACGCCGCGUGAAGGAAGAAGGCUUUCGGGUUGUAAACUUCCUUUCUGGGGGACGAAGAAAGUGACGGUACCCCAGGAAUAAGCCACGGCUAACUACGUGCCAGCAGCCGCGGUAAUACGUAGGUGGCAAGCGUUAUCCGGAUUUAUUGGGUGUAAAGGGCGUGUAGGCGGAAGUGAA